CUUGGCUCAAUUUUGUUUGAUCAAAAAGCAAGAUUCGAAUCAAAUCGAAUCUAAUUUAAAGAGCUAGGAUUUUCACACGUGUUAGUAUGCUUUUUAGUAAUCUGAUUGGAUCCAAAAUUUCAAUCAAUCAUAUCAAAUGGGUUCUUGAUAAUUUUUUUAUGUAUGUGACCCAUUGGGUUCCACGUCUAGCCAACAGUAGGUUCUAAUGCAUGUUGAUCUAAUCUGAUUAGAAUCCUUCUAAUCGAUUAAGAUCCAAAAAAUGUCGACCC
RNAcentral lists this long non-coding RNA (269 nucleotides) under Elaeis guineensis (African oil palm). Its description in RNAcentral is "long non-coding RNA (EGUI_LNC056518)". Lineage: Eukaryota; Viridiplantae; Streptophyta; Magnoliopsida; Arecales; Arecaceae. The record is from RNAcentral.